GAUGAAGAACGUAGCGAAAUGCGAUAAGUAAUGUGAAUUGCAGAAUUCAGUGAAUCAUCGAAUCUUUGAACGCACAUUGCGCCCCUUGGUAUUCCGAGGGGCAUGCCUGUUCGAGCGUCAUAUUAACCACUCCCGCUUGCGGGGUCGUGGGUUUCGCCUCCGGGCGGGCCUUAAAAUCAGUGGCGGUGCCGUCGGGCUCUACGCGUAGUAAAUUUUCUCGCGAUAGGGUCCCGGUGGAUGCUUGCCAACAACCCCCAACUUCUUAAGGUUGACCUCGGAUCAGGUAGGGAUACCCGCUGAACUUAAGCAUAUCAAUAAGCGGAGGA
RNAcentral lists this unclassified non-coding RNA (326 nucleotides) under soil metagenome. RNAcentral describes it as "partial contains 5.8S ribosomal RNA, internal transcribed spacer 2, and large subunit ribosomal RNA". The stretch from base 1 to 120 matches the Rfam family "5.8S ribosomal RNA", at positions 35 to 154 of the family's 154-position model. The record is from RNAcentral.